UAUAGCCAUACCACCCUGAUCGUGAUCCAUCUUGUCUGAUCUUAGAAGCUAAGCAGAGUUGGGCCUGGUUAGUAGUUGGGUGGGAGAAAAUAAUACAUGUGGCCUCAAAUCAAAAUAGGAUCCGCAUAUAU
Molecule: ribosomal RNA, 131 nt
Filed under: Propithecus coquereli (Coquerel's sifaka)
Lineage: Eukaryota; Metazoa; Chordata; Mammalia; Primates; Indriidae
Source: RNAcentral